This 343-nucleotide transfer-messenger RNA is filed under the name Bacilli. Its description in RNAcentral is "CAG-1193 sp934130375 Standard tmRNA". It matches the Rfam family "transfer-messenger RNA". Rfam says of the family: Bacterial tmRNA, also known as 10Sa RNA or SsrA, is named for its dual tRNA and mRNA-like properties. Its role is to liberate the mRNA from a stalled ribosome. Lineage: Bacteria; Bacillati; Bacillota. RNAcentral also lists the same sequence under 1 other name. The record is from RNAcentral.
GGGGCUGUUUAAUGGUUUUGACAGAAAUGUUAUUGAUAUGAAUUGCAAGUCGUAAGGCAUGCGUCAAAUCCAAAACAAAAAUAUCUGGAAACAGAAAUCAAUUAGCUUUCGCUUAAUUUAAAGAAGGCAGUCUACUAUUUGUUUUUCUUGUGACGAAUAACUAGGCUUUAUAAAGCAAGAUAUAUUAUUUAAUUGAUUGUGUUAAAUAAUGAAUUUUAAGCAAUCUAGCUAAAAAUUUAUUUGUUUAUUUUAUGUUUUUAGUGAAGUUAAAAAUAAACUAAACUUGUAGAAGUUUAUAUACAAGCAUUUUUGGACAGGAGUUCAAAUCUCCUCAGCUCCACCA